GGCUGUUCAGGAGCUGUUUGAGUGGUGUAUGUUGCUGGUUCAGCGAGUGCAACAACUUCUGGUUCAGUGGUGUCAAUUUCUGAGGUUGCUGGUGUUUGGACAGCAACAAGGGAUGUAAUGGUGGCAGAUUCAGCACUUGCUGAUUUUUGGACAGCAGGUUCAGCAAUUGCUGAUGUAAUUGUGGAAUUUUCAGCAGGUGGACAGCAACUGUUGUCUCUAUUUGCAGUAGGUUGGACAGGCAGAUUUCCAGCUUGAAUUUCAGCUUCUUCACGU
RNAcentral lists this long non-coding RNA (273 nucleotides) under Manihot esculenta (cassava). RNAcentral's name for it is "long non-coding RNA (MESC_LNC003638)". The record is from RNAcentral. Lineage: Eukaryota; Viridiplantae; Streptophyta; Magnoliopsida; Malpighiales; Euphorbiaceae.